CGUCGGCGGGGACCUGCAGCUGCUCCGGCUCCGCGACCUGGCUCCCCAGGGGCUCCAUUGGGAACUCGGCCUGGUCUCCUUCCGAUGCCGCCUGGGCCCGCUUCAUCACCGACAGACGAAGAGCGGAGCGCACCUGGGCCCAGAGACUCCUCACACUCCAUUAGGUCACUGACUCUCCAGCUCUCCCUCCAGCCCAGAUCUUUCUCCGGACCUUGACCCCACAGGCAGCCACUGCAAACAAGUCACCGUCCAGGCGGCUGCCCGCCCCGUGGCAAUGGCUCUCCAGGAUGCAGGUGGUCUCUGUGCCCCACCCUUCGUCACAGCUAACAGUUGGGCCAAUCGGAUUCUCCCUCGCAG
Molecule: long non-coding RNA, 357 nt
Organism: Felis catus (domestic cat)
Lineage: Eukaryota; Metazoa; Chordata; Mammalia; Carnivora; Felidae
Exons: 3
Source: RefSeq, a predicted model, not a curated record